RNAcentral lists this unclassified non-coding RNA (262 nucleotides) under Hevea brasiliensis (rubber tree). Lineage: Eukaryota; Viridiplantae; Streptophyta; Magnoliopsida; Malpighiales; Euphorbiaceae. The record is from RNAcentral.
AAUAUGUUCCAGAACCGAUAAGAAAUGUUCCCAGCGGGGAUCUUGCAGCUGACCCAAGCGAAAUCUGUUGCCAUUGAUUUCAAAUAAAGCAACACCAGCAGCCAAUAGUUGCAGAACCAAGAGAUAAAUAACUAAGGGGGACCUCCAUGACUUCAGUUUCAUCAAUCCAAUAAGUUUUAUCCACCAUGCAUCAGCUAACUCCCAUUCCGGACCCAAAAUAGCCCAUACAAUAAGAAAAAUCACUUCCAGAAGAAUAGCGAGA